This 497-nucleotide ribosomal RNA is filed under the name uncultured bacterium. RNAcentral's name for it is "partial 16S ribosomal RNA". It matches the Rfam family "Bacterial small subunit ribosomal RNA", at positions 28 to 507 of the family's 1533-position model. The record is from RNAcentral.
GAUGAACGCUGGCGGCGUGCCUAAUACAUGCAAGUCGAGCGAACAGACGAGGAGCUUGCUCCUCUGACGUUAGCGGCGGACGGGUGAGUAACACGUGGAUAACCUACCUAUAAGACUGGGAUAACUUCGGGAAACCGGAGCUAAUACCGGAUAAUAUAUUGAACCGCAUGGUUCAAUAGUGAAAGACGGUUUUGCUGUCACUUAUAGAUGGAUCCGUGCCGCAUUAGCUAGUUGGUAAGGUAACGGCUUACCAAGGCAACGAUGGGUAGCCGACCUGAGAGGGGGAUGGGGCACACUGGAACUGAGACACGGUCCAGACUCCUACGGGAGGCAGCAGUAGGGACUCUUCCGCAAUGGGCGAAAGCUUGACGGAGCAACGCCGCGUGAGUGAUGAAGGUCUUCGGAUCGUAAAACUCUGUUAUUAGGGAAGAACAAAUGUGUAAGUAACUAUGCACGUCUUGACGGUACCUAAUCAGAAAGCCACGGCUAACUACGUG